Long non-coding RNA from Meriones unguiculatus (Mongolian gerbil), 662 nucleotides. RefSeq lists it as uncharacterized. The record is from RefSeq and is a predicted model, not a curated record. The transcript has 3 exons. Lineage: Eukaryota; Metazoa; Chordata; Mammalia; Rodentia; Muridae.
CAGACGGGGCAGGGUGCUGGAAAAGCGGAACCCGAGAGCGGAGCCUACCCCGCGGGGAGAACCGGACCCGAAGGCUGUCGGGGGGCCGGGCGGUAAGCACGGGACAGGCCAGUCAGGGUUUCCCAAGCAGAAGCGCUUGGGGAUGGACCGAGCCGACUGAGCACGCUCCAGCCUGGCGCGGCUUUCGAACCAAGCGCCCUGCGGGAUCGAACGCGGCGUCCUGCGGGAUCGCAGUGUAGCGCCAAGAUAAGAUUACACGUGGUUUCUAGCGACUCGAGGGAGAGCGAGCAACAGGUAAAAACACUCAACGAAAUGCCGCCGAGGGAGAAGACUUAACUCGGGGAAGGCUCAGAGCAUAGGUGUCACGAGCUGGCGCGGAAAGGAGAAUUACGGAAUAGUUCUCCCCGGCUCUUCACCAGGUGCUCCAACAUCUGUCAGACCGUGGUGCAGAGGGAGGACUAAAUCUCUCUCCCCACAGGAAGCGCCCUCCCACCGCUCCCCUCCUCCACACACAAGAGCCUUCAGCUGCGGGCCUGAACCUGGCGCCCCUCGGCCAUCUGUUCCAGUAGCAACUCCUGAUGUUGGCCUGAAAAUGAGACAGAAUAUGAGGGGACCAUUCUUCAACUUCACUCCUUCCUCACUGCCUUGUGACCGGAUUAGUA